RNAcentral lists this ribosomal RNA (1290 nucleotides) under Triticum aestivum (bread wheat). Its description in RNAcentral is "partial small subunit ribosomal RNA". Lineage: Eukaryota; Viridiplantae; Streptophyta; Magnoliopsida; Poales; Poaceae. The record is from RNAcentral.
AUGGCGCGGAAGAAGAUCCGGGAGUACGAUUCCAAGCGCCUCCUCAAGGAGCACCUCAAGCGCCUGGCCGGCAUCGACCUGCACAUCCUCUCCGCCCAGGUCACACAAUCGACGGACUUUGCGGAGCUUGUGAACCAGCAUCCAUGGCUGUCGACCACCAAACUGGUUGUGAAGCCUGACAUGCUGUUCGGGAAGCGUGGGAAGAGUGGCCUUGUGGCACUCAACCUGGAUGUAGCCCAAGUCAAGGAGUUUGUGAAGGAGCGGUUGGGAGUCGAGGUCGAGAUGGGUGGCUGCAAAGCUCCAAUUACCACCUUCAUAGUUGAGCCGUUUGUCCCCCACGAUCAAGAGUACUACCUUUCAGUUGUGUCCGAAAGGUUGGGUAGCACCAUUAGCUUCUCGGAAUGUGGAGGCAUUGAAAUCGAGGAGAACUGGGACAAGGUUAAGACAGUCUUUCUUCCGACUGAGAAGCCAAUGACACCUGAUGCUUGUGCUCCCUUGAUUGCAACCCUUCCACUGGAGGCACGCGGAAAGAUUGGUGAUUUCAUUAAAGGAGUGUUUGCUGUCUUCCAAGACUUAGAUUUCUCAUUUAUUGAGAUGAACCCAUUCACCAUGGUGAAUGGGGAGCCAUAUCCGCUGGACAUGAGAGGAGAAUUGGAUGACACUGCAUCUUUCAAGAACUUCAAGAAGUGGGGAAAUUUAGAAUUCCCUCUACCAUUUGGCAGAGUUCUCAGUUCUACAGAAAGUUUUAUCCAUGAGCUGGACGAUAAGACCAGCGCGUCUUUGAAGUUCACAGUUUUGAACCCAAAGGGACGCAUAUGGACAAUGGUUGCUGGAGGUGGUGCCAGUGUCAUAUACGCUGACACGUUUUCUUUGGUUUGCCAGGUUGGAGAUUUGGGAUAUGCUUCAGAGUUAGGAAAUUAUGCAGAAUACAGUGGUGCUCCCAACCAGGAGGAGGUUCUGCAGUAUGCUAGAGUAGUACUUGAUUGUGCGACUGCGGACCCUGAUGGCCGCAAGAGAGCCCUUCUCAUUGGAGGUGGUAUAGCCAACUUCACUGAUGUCGCUGCCACUUUUAGUGGCAUCAUUCAGGCAUUAAGAGAGAAGGAAUCCAAGUUAAAGGCAUCCAGGAUGCACCUCUAUGUUCGACGAGGCGGUCCAAAUUACCAAACUGGACUGGCGAAAAUGCGCAAGCUUGGUGCAGAAAUCGGUGUUCCGAUUGAGGUGUAUGGACCGGAAGAGACAAUGACUGGCAUCUGCAAGCAAGCAAUUGAAUGCAUUAUGGCGGCAUCAUAA